CUGCGUCCACUGACAGACCCUGAACAGCCUGCUGUUCUCUUGGUUUGCACUAGGGCAAGAUAGAAAAAUCCUUGCACUUUCUGUCUGGGUGGCAGGCCAGACUGAAUAGGGGAUAUAUCA
Small nucleolar RNA from Camelus dromedarius (Arabian camel), 120 nucleotides. The record is from Ensembl. Lineage: Eukaryota; Metazoa; Chordata; Mammalia; Artiodactyla; Camelidae.